CGCCUUGCGUCUACAGCCCAAGCGUUAAGCGACAGGCUGAUGGCUGGUGGCUUUUGCCACCGGCCU
This 66-nucleotide small RNA is filed under the name Pseudomonas knackmussii B13. Its description in RNAcentral is "Pseudomonas sRNA P26". It matches the Rfam family "Pseudomonas sRNA P26". From Rfam's summary of the family: P26 is conserved across many Gammaproteobacteria species and appears to be consistently located between the DNA directed RNA polymerase (beta subunit) and 50S ribosomal protein L7/L12 genes. The record is from Rfam by way of RNAcentral. Lineage: Bacteria; Pseudomonadati; Pseudomonadota; Gammaproteobacteria; Pseudomonadales; Pseudomonadaceae.